UACGGAGGGUGCAAGCGUUGUCCGGAAUCACUGGGUGUAAAGGGUGUGCAGGCGGACUUGUAAGUCAGCGGUGAAAUCUCCCGGCUCAACCGGGAAACUGCCCCUGAUACUGCAAGUCUUGAGUCCUGGAGAGGUCACUAGAAUUCGUGGUGUAGCGGUGAAAUGCGUAGAUAUCACGAGGAAUACCUGAGGAGAAGUCGGGUGACUGGACAGGUACUGACGCUGAGGCACGAAAGCGUGGGGAGCAAACAGG
This 253-nucleotide unclassified non-coding RNA is filed under the name uncultured Bacteroidota bacterium. RNAcentral describes it as "uncultured Bacteroidetes bacterium contains 16S-23S intergenic spacer region". It matches the Rfam family "Bacterial small subunit ribosomal RNA", at positions 524 to 776 of the family's 1533-position model. Lineage: Bacteria; Pseudomonadati; Bacteroidota. The record is from RNAcentral.